RNAcentral lists this ribosomal RNA (464 nucleotides) under Vreelandella stevensii. RNAcentral's name for it is "partial 16S ribosomal RNA". It matches the Rfam family "Bacterial small subunit ribosomal RNA", at positions 338 to 795 of the family's 1533-position model. The record is from RNAcentral. Lineage: Bacteria; Pseudomonadati; Pseudomonadota; Gammaproteobacteria; Oceanospirillales; Halomonadaceae.
CCUAGGGAGGCUGCAGUGGGGAAUAUUGGACAAUGGGCGAAAGCCUGAUCCAGCCAUGCCGCGUGUGUGAAGAAGGCCUUCGGGUUGUAAAGCACUUUCAGUGGGGAAGAAAGCCUUGGGGCUAAUACCCUCGAGGAAGGACAUCACCCACAGAAGAAGCACCGGCUAACUCCGUGCCAGCAGCCGCGGUAAUACGGGGGGUGCGAGCGUUAAUCGGAAUUACUGGGCGUAAAGCGCGCGUAGGCGGUCUGAUAAGCCGGUUGUGAAAGCCCCGGGCUCAACCUGGGAACGGCAUCCGGAACUGUCAGGCUAGAGUGCAGGAGAGGAAGGUAGAAUUCCCGGUGUAGCGGUGAAAUGCGUAGAGAUCGGGAGGAAUACCAGUGGCGAAGGCGGCCUUCUGGACUGACACUGACGCUGAGGUGCGAAAGCGUGGGUAGCAAACAGGAUUAGAUACCCUAGUAGUC